RNAcentral lists this ribosomal RNA (1260 nucleotides) under Escherichia coli. RNAcentral's name for it is "partial 23S ribosomal RNA". It matches the Rfam family "Bacterial large subunit ribosomal RNA", at positions 305 to 1573 of the family's 2925-position model. The record is from RNAcentral. Lineage: Bacteria; Pseudomonadati; Pseudomonadota; Gammaproteobacteria; Enterobacterales; Enterobacteriaceae.
AGAGCCUGAAUCAGUAUGUGUGUUAGUGGAAGCGUCUGGAAAGGCGCGCGAUACAGGGUGACAGCCCCGUACACAAAAAUGCACAUGCUGUGAGCUCGAUGAGUAGGGCGGGACACGUGGUAUCCUGUCUGAAUAUGGGGGGACCAUCCUCCAAGGCUAAAUACUCCUGACUGACCGAUAGUGAACCAGUACCGUGAGGGAAAGGCGAAAAGAACCCCGGCGAGGGGAGUGAAAAAGAACCUGAAACCGUGUACGUACAAGCAGUGGGAGCACGCUUAGGCGUGUGACUGCGUACCUUUUGUAUAAUGGGUCAGCGACUUAUAUUCUGUAGCAAGGUUAACCGAAUAGGGGAGCCGAAGGGAAACCGAGUCUUAACUGGGCGUUAAGUUGCAGGGUAUAGACCCGAAACCCGGUGAUCUAGCCAUGGGCAGGUUGAAGGUUGGGUAACACUAACUGGAGGACCGAACCGACUAAUGUUGAAAAAUUAGCGGAUGACUUGUGGCUGGGGGUGAAAGGCCAAUCAAACCGGGAGAUAGCUGGUUCUCCCCGAAAGCUAUUUAGGUAGCGCCUCGUGAAUUCAUCUCCGGGGGUAGAGCACUGUUUCGGCAAGGGGGUCAUCCCGACUUACCAACCCGAUGCAAACUGCGAAUACCGGAGAAUGUUAUCACGGGAGACACACGGCGGGUGCUAACGUCCGUCGUGAAGAGGGAAACAACCCAGACCGCCAGCUAAGGUCCCAAAGUCAUGGUUAAGUGGGAAACGAUGUGGGAAGGCCCAGACAGCCAGGAUGUUGGCUUAGAAGCAGCCAUCAUUUAAAGAAAGCGUAAUAGCUCACUGGUCGAGUCGGCCUGCGCGGAAGAUGUAACGGGGCUAAACCAUGCACCGAAGCUGCGGCAGCGACGCUGAUGCGUUGUUGGGUAGGGGAGCGUUCUGUAAGCCUGCGAAGGUGUGCUGUGAGGCAUGCUGGAGGUAUCAGAAGUGCGAAUGCUGACAUAAGUAACGAUAAAGCGGGUGAAAAGCCCGCUCGCCGGAAGACCAAGGGUUCCUGUCCAACGUUAAUCGGGGCAGGGUGAGUCGACCCCUAAGGCGAGGCCGAAAGGCGUAGUCGAUGGGAAACAGGUUAAUAUUCCUGUACUUGGUGUUACUGCGAAGGGGGGACGGAGAAGGCUAUGUUGGCCGGGCGACGGUUGUCCCGGUUUAAGCGUGUAGGCUGGUUUUCCAGGCAAAUCCGGAAAAUCAAGGCUGAGGCGUGAUGACGAG